Molecule: ribosomal RNA, 212 nt
Filed under: uncultured bacterium
Lineage: Bacteria
Description: partial 16S ribosomal RNA
Rfam family: Bacterial small subunit ribosomal RNA
Source: RNAcentral
CAGUUCGGAUUGUAGGCUGCAACUCGCCUACAUGAAGUCGGAAUCGCUAGUAAUCGCGGAUCAGCAUGCCGCGGUGAAUACGUUCCCGGGCCUUGUACACACCGCCCGUCACACCAUGAGAGUUUGUAACACCCAAAGCCGGUGGGGUAACCUUUUGGAGCCAGCCGUCUAAGGUGGGACAGAUGAUUGGGGUGAAGUCGUAACAAGGUACC